RNAcentral lists this long non-coding RNA (1647 nucleotides) under Oncorhynchus kisutch (coho salmon). RNAcentral's name for it is "lncRNA (ENSOKIG00005018298.1)". The record is from RNAcentral. Lineage: Eukaryota; Metazoa; Chordata; Actinopteri; Salmoniformes; Salmonidae.
UUGCGGUUAUUUUUGAGACGGCGCUCCUCAUUGGCUACUGUGGACCUGCAAUAUUCUGUUCACUGUACGAGCGCCUAAGAUUGGCUACGUUGGAUCUGCAAUGCGUCAAGCAAUGGCGCUUAAUGUUACCUCAGUGGUUUUGGAAAAUGGUGUAACCGGACAGUCUACAUUGUAACACAGAGUAUUUUUGCAACACUGUAAAUAAUUGCUUACGACAAGACGUUUCUUUCAGUCUUUGUAGUUUCUCAAAAUGUUUCCGCCUCACCUGGCAAGGGCUCGAUUUGAGUUUUUCGGGAGGAGUGGUGGUGAUUGGCGAUUGGUCACCGCAAACAUACACGGAACAUGUAGUCGCGGAAUUUUAAAUGGCGGGUUUCGAUGAAGGAAUAUAGAAUUACAAUAUUAGAAAGCUUGUGCUGAUUCCAAGUCUAUUUUGUAAAUUAGACCAGUACUGGAUACAAAAAUCAAGAUUUAUCAAUUUACUAUGGCUAAACAAACUGUUUAAUAGUAAUGAUGAUUGAUUUUAGACAAUUAUCUCGCAGCCUGCAACAAUCAAUGGACUGGAAAACCAUUGAAUUAACGAUGAAUCCCAACAACAUUCACGCUUUAAUCAGUUUAUGGAAGUGACUGAUUGAUUCAUGCUCAACGAUGAAUAGGCUAAACUAAAUCAUAAAAUGUGCCAUCAAGAUAACAUGAUUUAGCCUAAAAUUAUAGCUACUACCCCUCCAACAAACCACAGUCGCUUCUGAGAUGACGUCAUAUUUAUCCGACUGUUUACAUGCAGAGGAGAACAACACAUGGCUCUAUUUCCAGCUUUUGUACGAUUAUCAAAUACAAAACCUGAGAAUGCACCUAAAGACAACAGAUAGGGAGGAUAAGAAUGGCUACCCAUCCAAGAAGAAUAAAAAGAAGAAGAAGAAGAAUAAAAAGAAGAAGUACAAGAAGAAGAAUGGAGAACCCUCUACAGCAAGCAGUGGCUCAUAUUCAAAUACUAUCUACUCCAGUGAUCUCCUGAAAAAGGCUGAGACUACACCUCACACAUAUGACCUCACUCCCUUUGUUCCCAUGAGGAGGUGCAGUGUCAGCUGGAGGGGUCUUUUGUGUGGCUGGACGACCUCUAGACCCCCACCGAUUGGCCCUUCUGCGUGGACAGAAGAGCAGACCUUUCCAACUUGGAGUACAAAUCGCUCUACAGAGAAGACAUCGCUAGGUACAAGAGGAAAAGCCGUUCUUCUCUGGGUUUGGACACGCGAUCUCAGGCCAUGAGCUGGUCUGAGUCUUGCCCAGAGAAGAAGAGAGGGGACAGAGACCCGACCGCUACUUCUCCCUCACCGUCCGCCAGCUGCUGGAAGGUGAGGCUGAGGGCGGGGUUCUGCCCUGGGCCAGGCCCCCUGGGUCAACUCGCUGGGGGUGUAUGACUCCUCCACCUCCCUGUGGCAGAGGAAAAACCCUCUACUCCCAGAGACAAUGCUGCCGCCCUGCUGGCUGAACAGGUGGAGGACUUUAACAGGAGGCUGAGGGAAACCUCCACAGACAAACACCUGGCUGCAGUUUGUCCACUUCCAGGUUCGGUAUUCAACGUUAAAACCCCUCAAUUACACACCACACCAAUCAGUGUCAUCACAUCACACGAGAUUUCACUAGGAUUUC